UACGGGGGGGGCAAGCGUUGUUCGGAAUUACUGGGCGUAAAGGGCCAGUAGGCGGCCAACUAAGUCGGAUGUGAAAUCCCCAGGCUUAACCUGGGAACUGCAUCCGAUACUGGAUGGCUUGAAUUCGGGAGAGGGAUGCAGAAUUCCAGGUGUAGCGGUGAAAUGCGUAGAUAUCUGGAGGAAUACCGGUGGCGAAGGCGGCAUCCUGGACCGACAUUGACGCUGAGGAGCGAAAGCCAGGGGAGCAAACGGG
This 253-nucleotide ribosomal RNA is filed under the name uncultured bacterium. RNAcentral describes it as "partial 16S ribosomal RNA". It matches the Rfam family "Bacterial small subunit ribosomal RNA", at positions 524 to 776 of the family's 1533-position model. The record is from RNAcentral.